GACGAACGCUGGCGGCGUGCUUAACACAUGCAAGUCGAGCGAUGAAGCUCCUUCGGGAGUGGAUUAGCGGCGGACGGGUGAGUAACACGUGGGUAACCUGCCUCAUAGAGGGGAAUAGCCUUCCGAAAGGAAGAUUAAUACCGCAUAAGAUUGUAGUACCGCAUGGUGCAGCAAUUAAAGGAGUAAUCCGCUAUGAGAUGGACCCGCGUCGCAUUAGCUAGUUGGUGAGGUAACGGCUCACCAAGGCGACGAUGCGUAGCCGACCUGAGAGGGUGAUCGGCCACAUUGGGACUGAGACACGGCCCAGACUCCUACGGGAGGCAGCAGUGGGGAAUAUUGCACAAUGGGGGAAACCCUGAUGCAGCAACGCCGCGUGAGUGAUGACGGUCUUCGGAUUGUAAAACUCUGUCUUCAGGGACGAUAAUGACGGUACCUGAGGAGGAAGCCACGGCUAACUACGUGCCAGCAGCCGCAGUAA
Molecule: ribosomal RNA, 478 nt
Filed under: uncultured bacterium
Lineage: Bacteria
Description: partial 16S ribosomal RNA
Rfam family: Bacterial small subunit ribosomal RNA
Source: RNAcentral